This 145-nucleotide small RNA is filed under the name Marmota monax (woodchuck). Lineage: Eukaryota; Metazoa; Chordata; Mammalia; Rodentia; Sciuridae. The record is from RNAcentral.
UGCAAAUAUUGACAGCAAGUAAACAUCAUACUGAAAUUAACCUUGUAUUCAGCAUAUUAUUGAAAAAUCACACAUUUAAGAUCAAAGAUUAUAAAGGAGGGGUGUGUGUGUGUGUGUGUGUGUGUGUGUGUGUAUGCGCGUUCAA